UACAGAGGGUGCGAGCGUUACUCGGAAUUACUGGGCGUAAAGGGCGCGUAGGUGGUUAGAUAAGUGAGUUGUGAAAUCCCUGGGCUUAACCUAGGAACUGCAACUUAUACUGUUUGACUAGAGUACGGUAGAGGGCAGUGGAAUUUCCGGUGUAGCGGUGAAAUGCGUAGAUAUCGGAAGGAACAUCAGUGGCGAAGGCGACUGCCUGGACAGAUACUGACACUGAGGCGCGAAAGCGUGGGGAGCAAACAGG
This 253-nucleotide ribosomal RNA is filed under the name uncultured bacterium. Its description in RNAcentral is "partial 16S ribosomal RNA". It matches the Rfam family "Bacterial small subunit ribosomal RNA", at positions 524 to 776 of the family's 1533-position model. The record is from RNAcentral.